RNAcentral lists this ribosomal RNA (596 nucleotides) under uncultured bacterium. RNAcentral describes it as "bacterial SSU rRNA". It matches the Rfam family "Bacterial small subunit ribosomal RNA", at positions 112 to 704 of the family's 1533-position model. The record is from RNAcentral.
AAUGCCUAGGAAUCUGCCUGGUAGUGGGGGAUAACGUUCGGAAACGGACGCUAAUACCGCAUACGUCCUACGGGAGAAAGCAGGGGACCUUCGGGCCUUGCGCUAUCAGAUGAGCCUAGGUCGGAUUAGCUAGUUGGUGAGGUAAUGGCUCACCAAGGCGACGAUCCGUAACUGGUCUGAGAGGAUGAUCAGUCACACUGGAACUGAGACACGGUCCAGACUCCUACGGGAGGCAGCAGUGGGGAAUAUUGGACAAUGGGCGAAAGCCUGAUCCAGCCAUGCCGCGUGUGUGAAGAAGGUCUUCGGAUUGUAAAGCACUUUAAGUUGGGAGGAAGGGUUGUAGAUUAAUACUCUGCAAUUUUGACGUUACCGACAGAAUAAGCACCGGCUAACUCUGUGCCAGCAGCCGCGGUAAUACAGAGGGUGCAAGCGUUAAUCGGAAUUACUGGGCGUAAAGCGCGCGUAGGUGGUUUGUUAAGUUGGAUGUGAAAUCCCCGGGCUCAACCUGGGAACUGCAUUCAAAACUGACUGACUAGAGUAUGGUAGAGGGUGGUGGAAUUUUCUGUGUAGCGGUGAAAUGCGUAGAUAUAGGAAGG